This 29-nucleotide non-coding RNA is filed under the name Homo sapiens (human). The record is from RNAcentral. Lineage: Eukaryota; Metazoa; Chordata; Mammalia; Primates; Hominidae.
UGAUCAGAAUGGUGGGUGCAAGUUUAUGA